UACGGAGGGUGCAAACGUUGCUCGGAAUCAUUGGGCGUAAAGCGCACGUAGGCGGUCCUGCAAGUCGGGUGUGAAAGCCCUCGGCUCAACCGAGGAAGUGCAUCCGAAACUGCCGGACUUGAGUAGUGAAGAGGGUCUCGGAAUUCCCGGUGUAGAGGUGAAAUUCGUAGAUAUCGGGAGGAACACCAGCGGCGAAGGCGGAGACCUGGGCACAUACUGACGCUGAUGUGCGAAAGCGUGGGGAGCAAAC
This 250-nucleotide ribosomal RNA is filed under the name uncultured bacterium. RNAcentral's name for it is "partial 16S ribosomal RNA". It matches the Rfam family "Bacterial small subunit ribosomal RNA", at positions 524 to 773 of the family's 1533-position model. The record is from RNAcentral.